RNAcentral lists this ribosomal RNA (253 nucleotides) under uncultured bacterium. Its description in RNAcentral is "partial 16S ribosomal RNA". It matches the Rfam family "Bacterial small subunit ribosomal RNA", at positions 524 to 776 of the family's 1533-position model. The record is from RNAcentral.
UACGUAAGGGGCAAGCGUUGUCCGGAAUCACUGGGCGUAAAGCGCGCUUAGGCGGUUUGGUAAGUCGGGUGUGAAAGCCCCGGGCUCAACCCGGGAAUUGCGCCCGAAACUGCCUCACUGGAGGACCGGAGAGGUGCACGGAAUUCCCGGUGUAGGGGUGAAAUCCAUAGAUAUCGGGAGGAACACCAAUGGGGAAGGCAGUGCACGGGACGGUUCCUGACGCUGAGGUGCGGAAGCGUGGGGAGCGAACGGG